UACGGAAGGUCCAGGCGUUAUCCGGAUUUAUUGGGUUUAAAGGGAGCGUAGGCCGCUUUUUAAGCGUGUUGUGAAAUGUUGGGGCUCAACCCCAUCACUGCAGCGCGAACUGGAAGGCUUGAGAGUGCGCAACGCAGGUGGAAUUUGUGGUGUAGCGGUGAAAUGCUUAGAUAUCACGAAGAACUCCGAUUGCGAAGGCAACUUGCGGGAGCACGACUGACGCUGAAGCUCGAAAGUGCGGGUAUCGAACAGGAUUAGAUACCCUGGUAGUCCGCACGGUAAACGAUGGAUGCCCGCUGUGUGCGUAUGACGUACGCGGCCAAGCGAAAGCAUUAAGCAUCCCACCUGGGGAGUACGCCGGCAACGGUGAAACUCAAAGGAAUUGACGGGGGCCCGCACAAGCGGAGGAACAUGUGGUUUAAUUCGAUGAUACGCGAGGAACCUUACCCGGGCUUGAAUUGCAGGUGAAUGCGAUAGAGAUAUCAAAGUCCUUCGGGACACCUGUGAAGGUGCUGCAUGGUUGUCGUCAGCUCGUGCCGUGAGGUGUCGGCUUAAGUGCCAUAACGAGCGCAACCCCUCUCUUCAGUUGCCAUCAGUUUAAGCUGGGCACUCUGGAGACACUGCCACCGUAAGGUGUGAGGAAGGUGGGGAUGACGUCAAAUCAGCACGGCCCUUACGUCCGGGGCUACACACGUGUUACAAUGGGGAGUACAGAGAGUCGGGGUCCCGCAAGGUCCCCCUAAUCAAGAAAGCUCCUCCCAGUUCGGACUGGGGUCUGCAACCCGACCCCACGAAGCUGGAUUCGCUAGUAAUCGCGCAUCAGCCAUGGCGCGGUGAAUACGUUCCCGGGCCU
Molecule: ribosomal RNA, 853 nt
Filed under: uncultured bacterium
Lineage: Bacteria
Description: SSU rRNA
Rfam family: Bacterial small subunit ribosomal RNA
Source: RNAcentral